AACGAACGCUGGCGGCAUGCCUAACACAUGCAAGUCGAACGAGACCUUCGGGUCUAGUGGCGCACGGGUGCGUAACGCGUGGGAACCUGCCCUUAGGUUCGGAAUAACUCCCCGAAAGGGGUGCUAAUACCGGAUAAUGUCUUCGGACCAAAGAUUUAUCGCCUUUGGAUGGGCCCGCGUUGGAUUAGCUAGUUGGUAGGGUAAAAGCCUACCAAGGCGACGAUCCAUAGCUGGUCUGAGAGGAUGAUCAGCCACACUGGGACUGAGACACGGCCCAGACUCCUACGGGAGGCAGCAGUGGGGAAUAUUGGACAAUGGGCGAAAGCCUGAUCCAGCAAUGCCGCGUGAGUGAUGAAGGCCGUAGGGUUGUAAAGCUCUUUUACCCGGGAUGAUAAUGACAGUACCGGGAGAAUAAGCUCCGGCUAACUCCAUG
RNAcentral lists this ribosomal RNA (433 nucleotides) under uncultured bacterium. RNAcentral's name for it is "partial 16S ribosomal RNA". It matches the Rfam family "Bacterial small subunit ribosomal RNA", at positions 29 to 507 of the family's 1533-position model. The record is from RNAcentral.